AAGUGCUUUGUCAAGAAAGCCUAAAAAAAUCUUGACCAAUCGCCCCUUUGGCAAGAGGGUAGAGCGAUUUCCCUGAAAGGCAAAUCAUGGCACUAAGGGAGAUACCUGUAAGGGUCGGUUGUAAAGAAAACGAUUUAUCAAUCGUAGUAUAUGGUGGCAUGCAAUCAUGCGAACAUCGAGGAUCCAGUCAGACCGAUGUAAAACAAAUAAUGGCGGGGGGAUUAGCACACUUCCUGAGAUAGCGUGAUAGGCU
The submitters of this non-coding RNA (253 nucleotides) gave its source as unclassified sequences. The record is from Rfam.